RNAcentral lists this ribosomal RNA (440 nucleotides) under uncultured bacterium. RNAcentral describes it as "partial 16S ribosomal RNA". It matches the Rfam family "Bacterial small subunit ribosomal RNA", at positions 338 to 795 of the family's 1533-position model. The record is from RNAcentral.
CCUACGGGUGGCAGCAGUAGGGAAUAUUGCUCAAUGGGGGCAACCCUGAAGCAGCAACGCCGCGUGAAGGAUGAAGGUUUUCGGAUUGGAAACCCCUUUUGUUAGAGAAGAUAAAGACGGUAUCUAACGCAUAAGCACCGGCUAAGUCCGUUCCAGCAGCCCCGGUAAGACGGAGGGUGCAAGCGUUACUCGGAUUCACUGGGCGUAAAUAGCGCGUAGGCGGGAUAGCAAGUCAGAUGUGAAAUCCUAUGGCUUAACCAUAGAACUGCAUUUGAAACUGUUAUUCUAGAGUAUGGGAGAGGUAUGUGGAAUUCGUGGUGUAGUGGUAAAAUGCGUAGAGAUCAAGAAGAAUACUGAUUGCGAAGGCGACCUGCUAGAACAUAACUGACGCUGAUGCGCGAAAGCGUGGGGAGCAAACAGGAUUAGAUACCCUAGUAGUC